GACGUAUAAUGGAAGCGCCGCCGGUGGGGCGCUCCUCCUGGCCGCGGGCACGGGCUCCUCACGUGGCCGAGCGGUUCCGCCGCACAGAGGGAGCCCGGAACCGCGCUCCACAGUGACUUCAAAGAGGGCGGGCAGCUUUGUUUCUCCGCCCCCUCGUUCAGUUAAUCCUCCCAACAAAAACGUACCUAAAACCGGCAUAGGCGAUAUUUUGGUGACGGGUCAUGGAGUUAAGACGAUAGCGGUAUCAUUGUGGAUUUACGGACCUACAACCUCCUCUACCAGCAGAACACACACAGUUCCCAGCAAGCAAAAAGAUACUAUCAGCCAAGAAUACAGAAAUAAAUCAGGGUAAAUGGAAAUGGAACAAGCCUUUAGAAGCCUUGCUCUGCGUGAUCAGUCAGCAGCUAUUUGGUACCUAACUAUUUCAAUGGCCAGCUCUUUCUUCCUUCAGUCUCAUCUCAGCUGUCACAGAAUUGAGUAAAUGCAAGUUUCCCUGCUAGUGAAAUUCCAUCAGGAGGCCUUCACUGCACCCACCUGACACAGCCUGUAGCUUCUCCAACCCCAGCAGCAGCUUGCAGGAAUGGGAAGGGAAUCUUUUCAAACAUUGGAAGAGACACACAGAAUGAAAACAACAGGAAAUGCCUUUCACGGGGCCCUCCACAGCUGUUUUUCUGCUCCUUGCAGGACAGUUUUGAACAAGUGGUUCACUCACCCAACAUCCAUAAAUCACCAUAAGUAUGACUCCACAUGAGUAAAUCCACUAAUAUCACUUUCCAUAUGUUUACCAAUAAUGACUGCUACAGAACAAUUCUGUUACAGAAGUUUCUGUAAAUAAAGACACCUGUCACAGAACAGGAAAAAUGUUUCUUCAUCUCCAGGAGGUACCAAUGCUGUUGUACUAACACAUUUAAGUAAGGGAAGUAACAGGCUUCAUAGAAAAGAAAUCUCAGGCUAACCUUCUUCUCCUGCACCAUCCAACUCUGAGAUAUUGACAAAAAGGUUCAAAAAAAAAAUCAGAAGCAAUGGGUUUUAAGAAAAAAAAACUGUUCAUACUGAAUCAGAUGGAAUGUGCCAUCUACUCUGACAUGGAUGUACACAUGUAUGCAUUUGCUCAUGCAAUCUUCUGCCAGUCAGGUAAAAAUACAGGAGACGUAAUGGAUCAUUUAAGAUAAUGUGUUCUCAAAUUCAAUUUAAGAGAUUAUACCUGAGAGGUGUUUUCACUAAAUGCCAUUUUAACAAAAAUACCACAUACCAUAGUCUAGAGGUGUUGAACAAAACAGUUCCACUAAUUUAACUCCUCGUACAUCAGAAUGUACAAAAACAAGAUGGAAAAAGACUUCAGAACCAGUAAUGGAAUGAAAGAAAAAACAAUCAUGUGGUUUACAAUUAAUUUUCAAGUUUAAUUACUCUAAAACCUGAAUACUGCUCUUUAGUAUACAAGCCUUGUGAAUUCUAUUGCUUCUUAGCUCACUAUUUUACUUAACCUCAGCACGGUCUACUGUAUAAAUUUUCAUUUGAGAUCAUGAUUACGACAGUAGCUUACUGCUGGCUUAAAACAGUCCUUGAAGACAAUUCACAAACCUCACAGGAACUCAACUUCUACACAAACAGAUGUUUGCUUUUAAGAGCUUAGUAUUCCUAGUGCAGUUUUCUGGCAAAGGAUAAAACCCAUCCUUCUAUGACAGAAAAACCCCACACCACAGUUGUCCCCUCAUCUCUUCCCCUCCCCACCUUAACUGUGUAUUGCUUUUGCAGAUUAAAAACCCCUGAAGUUUAAAGGAACUUAAUGCAAAUGUACAUAUCCUGAAGAGCUGCUUAUGUAGGUACAAUACAUAAACUACAUUUGUUUUUGACACUUUCUAAAACAAGUUUAAUUCCAUUACGUAUAUAACAUCAAAAAUUAUUUUCUGAAAUGCAGUAUUCAUAAGUAUGGUUCUAAUACUUGA
Molecule: long non-coding RNA, 1946 nt
Organism: Gallus gallus (chicken)
Lineage: Eukaryota; Metazoa; Chordata; Aves; Galliformes; Phasianidae
Exons: 3
Source: RefSeq, a predicted model, not a curated record